GACGAACGCUGGCGGCGUGGAUUAGGCAUGCAAGUCGAACGGUAUCAUCCUUUCGGGGGUGAGAGAGUGGCGAACUGGUGAGUAACACGUAGGUUAUCUACCCUCAAGACGGGGACAACCCAGGGAAACUUGGGCUAAUACCGGAUGUGAGCAACUUUUAGUUGUUUGAAAGGUGGCGUAAGCUGUCGCUUGGGGAUGAGCCUGCGUCCUAUUAGUUAGUUGGUGAGGUAACGGCUCACCUAGGCAAUGAUAGGUAGGCGGCCUUAACGGGUGGUCGCCCACACUGGGGAUUGAGAUACGGCCCAGACUCCUACGGGAGGCAGCAGUCGAGAAUAGUCUACAAUGGUCGGAAGACUGAUAGUGCGACGCCGCGUGAACGAUGAAUCCCUUCGGGGUGUAAAGUUCUUUUAUAUGUGAGCAGUGCUUCUUAUAUUAACAGUAUGGGGAGAGAGAUAUUAGCAUAUGAAUAAGCAACGGCUAACUCCGUGCCAGCAGCCGCGGU
This 502-nucleotide ribosomal RNA is filed under the name uncultured bacterium. RNAcentral describes it as "bacterial SSU rRNA". It matches the Rfam family "Bacterial small subunit ribosomal RNA", at positions 28 to 521 of the family's 1533-position model. The record is from RNAcentral.